AAUUAAUUAUAAAAACCGAAUUAGAAAAAUAAUGGAGAAUCUAAAAGAAAAAUUAAUAUGGAUAGAAGAAACCUUAGAAAAUCUAGAAAAAAGUACAUGUGAUAGUUUAUAUAAUUUAAAAAACUCACUACGAGAAGAACAACACAAGAUAAUAAAUAACAUUGAAAAUCUAGAAUUAGAUAUACAUUACAGUACAGUUAAGAUAAAUUAUUAUACAGAAAUUUGUAACUCUGCAAUUACUACAGGAU
This 248-nucleotide long non-coding RNA is filed under the name Capsicum annuum. RNAcentral describes it as "long non-coding RNA (CANN_LNC019734)". Lineage: Eukaryota; Viridiplantae; Streptophyta; Magnoliopsida; Solanales; Solanaceae. The record is from RNAcentral.